CCUACGGGUGGCAGCAGUGGGGAAUAUUGCACAAUGGGGGAAACCCUGAUGCAGCGACGCCGCGUGAGUGAAGAAGCGUUUCGGCGCGUAAAGCUCUGUCAGCGGGGAAGAAACACGGUUCGCGAGAGCCGCGGACGGUACCCGACCAAGAAGCCCCGGCUAACUACGUGCCAGCAGCCGCGGUAAUACGUAGGGGGCAAGCGUUAUCCGGAUGCACUGGGGGUAAAGGGAGAGUAGACGGCGAGACAAGGCUGGAGUGAAAGGCAGGGGCCCAACCCCGGGACUGCUCUGGAAACUGCCUGGCUAGAGUACAGGAGAGGUAAGUGGAAUUCCUAGUGUAGCGGUGAAAUGCGUAGAUAUUAGGAGGAACACCAGUGGCGAAGGCGGCUUACUGGACUGUAACUGACGUUGAGGCUCGAAAGCGUGGGGAGCAAACAGGAUUAGAUACCCCAGUAGUC
This 458-nucleotide ribosomal RNA is filed under the name uncultured bacterium. RNAcentral's name for it is "partial 16S ribosomal RNA". It matches the Rfam family "Bacterial small subunit ribosomal RNA", at positions 338 to 795 of the family's 1533-position model. The record is from RNAcentral.